CAAAAAGUAGCUUACACUAAAGCGCCCGACCUACAAUCGAACGAUACUUACACAGUCUUUUUGA
Molecule: transfer RNA, 64 nt
Filed under: Pareas stanleyi (Stanley's slug snake)
Lineage: Eukaryota; Metazoa; Chordata; Lepidosauria; Squamata; Pareidae
Description: tRNA-Val
Source: RNAcentral